This 476-nucleotide ribosomal RNA is filed under the name uncultured bacterium. Its description in RNAcentral is "bacterial SSU rRNA". It matches the Rfam family "Bacterial small subunit ribosomal RNA", at positions 28 to 537 of the family's 1533-position model. The record is from RNAcentral.
GAUGAACGCUGGCGGCGUGCCUAAUACAUGCAAGUCGAGCGGCAGCACGGUCUUCGGACUGGUGGCGAGCGGCGGACGGCAGAGUAACGCGUAGGAAUAUACCCCAAAGUGAGGGAUAAGCUCCAGAAAUGGAGUCUAAUACCGCAUAUGGUCUUCGGAUUAAAGCCUUCGGGCGCUAUGGGAAUAGCCUGCGUUCGAUUAGCUAGUUGGUGAGGUAAUGGCUCACCAAGGCGACGAUCGAUAGCUGGUCUGAGAGGAUGAUCAGCCUGACUGGAACUGAGAUACGGUCCAGACUCCUACGGGAGGCAGCAGUAGGGAAUUUCCACAAUGGGCGAAAGCCUGAUGGAGCAACGCCGCGUGCAGGAUGAAGGCCUUCGGGUCGUAAACUGCUUUAUGUGGAAGAAUAUAGACGGUAACACAUGAAUAAGGGUCGGCUAACUACGUGCCAGCAGCCGACGGUAAAAGUACUCUAUCUA